Long non-coding RNA from Hemiscyllium ocellatum (epaulette shark), 891 nucleotides. RefSeq lists it as uncharacterized. The record is from RefSeq and is a predicted model, not a curated record. Lineage: Eukaryota; Metazoa; Chordata; Chondrichthyes; Orectolobiformes; Hemiscylliidae. The transcript has 3 exons.
UUGCAAAUGGUACAGAAAGCCUUGUUGUAUCCCCAGGUACAUUUUCCUCAUUGUGCUCUGCCGAAUGUUCUCCAGUCUUCCAAAAUCUACUGGGCUUCCAGUUAUCCUGGCCGAGUGUUACGGACUGGCAUAUUCCAAGAUCCAGGAAAUGUGAUGAUGGAUUCACUGGAGCUUGGGGCAGCUGAGUUACAAUGGAGUAAAGUCUAAGACUUCUCAGCUAUUUCGUACCACGGGCUGAAAACUCUAAAACCUCUUGAGAUGAUGGACAGGCUAUGAGGUGAUGAUUUGUUGUGGUGGUGUCCCUGUCCUGGAUCCAGAGGCCUGCGCUCAAGUCCUGACUCUCCAGGAGAUUCCAGAAACCACCCAGGUAUUGUCAAUAACAAGCUCUUCUAUCUCAACUGAGGCGAUGGCCUGCGAUUGAAGAAGAUGGAAAAUUCAAGACUAAUCUGUGGAAACCUUAUUUCAGUGAGAGUGCGAUCAAUCCUGGGGGAGAUUAUGGAAGCGACGAUCUUCAUUAAUUGAAAGCUGCCAUUUAGUGCAUGUCACUAUGAAAUUGAGAGAAACCAGUAAUUUUAGAUCUCAUGCUUCCAAAAGUCCUCUCUCAUUGGUAGUGCAUAGAAUAUACAGGAACAGGCCCUUCAGCUCACCUUGUCUACACCAAUCAUCAUGCCAUUCGAAAACUAAUCCCACAUGCCUCCACAUGGUCAUUAUUGCUGUAUCUCCUGCCUAUCCAUGUGUUUUUCCAAAUGCCUCUCCAGGUUGUCCAUUCAGCCUACUGGGUCUAUACUGAUUUAAAACCUAUCCAAUUUGGUUUCUCUCUCAGUUCAGGCAUUAAUUACGAUGUUCUCGUGUUGUAUUUACUCACUAGCUGUCUCAAUGUUUUCCUCUGUG